AUUACACGACCGUACCGCAAACCGACACUGGUGCGCGAGAUGAGUUUUCUAAGGCGCUUGAGAGAACUCAGGAGAAGGAACUCGGCAAAUUGACACCGUAACUUCGGAAGAAGGUGUGCCUCUAGUAGGUGAAGGGAUUUACUCCUGGGGCCCAAUGAGGUUGCAAAAAAUCGGUGGCUGCGACUGUUUAAUAAAAACACAGCACUCUGCAAACACGAAAGUGGACGUAUAGGGUGUGACGCCUGCCCGGUGCUGGAAGAUUAAAUGAUGGGGUGCAAGCUCUUGAUUGAAGUCCCAGUAAACGGCGGCCGUAACUAUAACGGUCCUAAGGUAGCGAAAUUCCUUGUCGGGUAAGUUCCGACCUGCACGAAUGGCGUAACGAUGGCCACACUGUCUCCUCCUGAGACUCAGCGAAGUUGAAAUGUUUGUGAUGAUGCAAUCUCCCCGCGGAAAGACGGAAAGACCCCAUGAACCUUUACUGUAGCUUUGUAUUGGACUUUGAACAGAUCUGUGUAGGAUAGGUGGGAGGCUUUGAAGUGUGGUCGCUAGAUCGCAUGGAGCCAACGUUGAAAUACCACCCUGGUGUGUUUGAGGUUCUAACCUAGGUCCAUUAUCUGGAUCGGGGACAGUGCAUGGUAGGCAGUUUGACUGGGGCGGUCUCCUCCCAAAGCGUAACGGAGGAGUUCGAAGGUACGCUAGGUACGGUCGGACAUCGUGCUAAUAGUGCAAUGGCAUAAGCGUGCUUAACUGCGAGACUGACAAGUCGAGCAGAUGCGAAAGCAGGACAUAGUGAUCCGGUGGUUCUGUAUGGAAGGGCCAUCGCUCAACGGAUAAAAGGUACUCUGGGGAUAACAGGCUGAUACCGCCCAAGAGUUCAUAUCGACGGCGGUGUUUGGCACCUCGAUGUCGGCUCAUCUCAUCCUGGGGCUGUAGCCGGUCCCAAGGGUAUGGCUGUUCGCCAUUUAAAGAGGUACGUGAGCUGGGUUUAAAACGUCGUGAGACAGUUUGGUCCCUAUCUUCCGUGGGCGCUGCAGAUUUGAGGAAGCCUGCUCCUAGUACGAGAGGACCGGAGUGGACACACCUCUGGUGUAUCGGUUGUCACGCCAGUGGCAUUGCCGAGUAGCUAUGUGUGGAAGAGAUAACCGCUGAAAGCAUCUAAGCGGGAAACUCGUUUCAAGAUGAGAUCUGCCGGGGCCUUGAGCCCCCUAAAGAGUCGUUCAAGACCAGGACGUUGAUAGGUCAGGUGUGGAAGCGCAGUAAUGCGUUAAGCUAACUGAUACUAAUUGCUCGUGCGGCUUGACCC
This 1303-nucleotide ribosomal RNA is filed under the name metagenome. Its description in RNAcentral is "bacterial LSU rRNA". It matches the Rfam family "Bacterial large subunit ribosomal RNA", at positions 1633 to 2925 of the family's 2925-position model. The record is from RNAcentral.